GGAAUUUGGGGAAUUGUCCUUCCACUUCCGCGCCUAUGGAGACCUGAGCGAGGGGGAGCUCGACUCUGUCUGCCAAUUCCUGCUCCAGCGCGUGAAAUCCCGGGAAAAGGCCGCCCUGCGCCAGCUCCGGGCCUGUUUCCGGGCAUUCCAGAGGUGAGGAAAACCACCCCUUCCCGGGUUUUCCUGCCCCUGUUUUCUCUGGAAUGCUGGGAAAGGGCGGGAAGUUGAUGGGGUGGGAUCAGCGUGGCAUUCCAGAGGUGAGGAAAACCACCCCUAUGUCCCUGUUUUCCUGCCCUGAUUUCCCUGGAAUGCUGGGAAAGGGUGGGAAGGUGAUGGGGUGGGUUCAGCGUGGCAUUCCAGAGCUUGGAUCCCAACCCUCUGCAGGAGGAGGAGGAGGAGAGGAGGAGCUCCAGGCUCAAGGAUCUGAUCCGGGAAUACUUCGAGCAGGAUGGACUCGGAUCCCAGGAGGAGGAGGAGGAGCAGGAGGAGGAGGAGGAGGAGGAGCUGGGAAGGGCUCAGGAUCUGCGGGACUGGGAGAGCUGGGUCCGCUCUGACAUCCGAUGCUUCCUGUCCGUCCGCCCCGACGAGAAGUUCUCCGGGAGAGCCAUCGCCAGGAUAUUCCACGGGAUCAGCAGCCCCCGCUUCCCGGCACAGAUCUACGGGCGGGAUCGGCGCUUCUGGAGGAGGCACCUCCCCCUGGAUUUCCACUGGAUCGCCCGCCUGGCCACCCAGGAGAUCCUGGAUGCUGCCAGGUGAGGGGCAUUCCCGGGAAUGUCCUUCCCACACCCUCCCCCGGGAGCCUUUUUCCAGGGGCGUUUU
Pseudopipra pipra is the source of this 819-nucleotide long non-coding RNA. RefSeq lists it as uncharacterized. The record is from RefSeq and is a predicted model, not a curated record. Lineage: Eukaryota; Metazoa; Chordata; Aves; Passeriformes; Pipridae. The transcript is spliced from 3 exons.